AGUUGGUCUGUCAGUGGAUGAAUAUAAAUUUAUCAUUGUGAUGUCUUCUUCCUGGAUUCUUACCUGUGUUAAUAUGUAGUGUCCUUCUUUAUCUUUUUGAACUGAUUAUAAUGAGAAGGCUAGCUUGUCUGACCUCAGGAUGGCUACCCCUGC
Molecule: long non-coding RNA, 153 nt
Organism: Perognathus longimembris pacificus (Pacific pocket mouse)
Lineage: Eukaryota; Metazoa; Chordata; Mammalia; Rodentia; Heteromyidae
Exons: 3
Source: RefSeq, a predicted model, not a curated record